UGGGCAUCUUUGACGAGUCGAUAAUAAAAUUGUUAUCCUUGCACUUUGAUGGCCAGUGAAGAAACUUAUGGGGAAUUUUUUCUCUGAGAUGCUC
Molecule: small nucleolar RNA, 94 nt
Organism: Mangifera indica (mango)
Lineage: Eukaryota; Viridiplantae; Streptophyta; Magnoliopsida; Sapindales; Anacardiaceae
Product: small nucleolar RNA snoR26
Exons: 1
Source: RefSeq, a predicted model, not a curated record